GACGAACCUUUGCGGCGUGCUUAACACAUGCAAGUCGAACGGAAAGGCCCUGCUUUUGUGGGGUGCUCGAGUGGCGAACGGGUGAGUAACACGUGAGUAACCUGCCCUUGACUUUGGGAUAACUUCAGGAAACUGGGGCUAAUACCGGAUAGGAGCUCCUGCUGCAUGGUGGGGGUUGGAAAGUUUCGGCGGUUGGGGAUGGACUCGCGGCUUAUCAGCUUGUUGGUGGGGUAGUGGCUUACCAAGGCUUUGACCGGUAGCCGGCCUGAGAGGGUGACCGGCCACAUUGGGACUGAGAUACGGCCCAGACUCCUACGGGAGGCAGCAGUGGGGAAUAUUGCACAAUGGGCGGAAGCCUGAUGCAGCAACGCCGCGUGCGGGAUGACGGCCUUCGGGUUGUAAACCGCUUUCGCCUGUGACGAAGCGUGAGUGACGGUAAUGGGUAAAGAAGCACCGGCUAACUACGUGCCAGCAGCCGCGGUGAUACGUAGGGUGCGAGCGUUGUCCGGAUUUAUUGGGCGUAAAGGGCUCGUAGGUGGUUGAUCGCGUCGGAAGUGUAAUCUUGGGGCUUAACCCUGAGCGUGCUUUCGAUACGGGUUGACUUGAGGAAGGUAGGGGAGAAUGGAAUUCCUGGUGGAGCGGUGGAAUGCGCAGAUAUCAGGAGGAACACCAGUGGCGAAGGCGGUUCUCUGGGCCUUUCCUGACGCUGAGGAGCGAAAGCGUGGGGAGCGAACAGGCUUAGAUACCCUGGUAGUCCACGCUGUAAACGGUGGGUACUAGGUGUGGGGUCCAUUCCACGGGUUCCGUGCCGUAGCUAACGCUUUAAGUACCCCGCCUGGGGAGUACGGCCGCAAGGCUAAAACUCAAAGGAAUUGACGGGGCCCCGCACAAGCGGCGGAGCAUGCGGAUUAAUUCGAUGCAACGCGUAGAACCUUACCUGGGUUUGACAUGGAUCGGGAGUGCUCAGAGAUGGGUGUGCCUCUUUUGGGGUCGGUUCACAGGUGGUGCAUGCCUGUCGUCAGCUCGUGUCGUGAGAUGUUGGGUUAAGUCCCGCAACGAGCGCAACCCUUGUUCACUGUUGCCAGCACGUUAUGGUGGGGACUCAGUGGAGACCGCCGGGGUCAACUCGGAGGAAGGUGGGGAUGACGUCAAGUCAUCAUGCCCCUUAUGUCCAGGGCUUCACGCAUGCUACAAUGGCUGGUACAGAGAGUGGCGAGCCUGUGAGGGUGAGCGAAUCUCGGAAAGCCGGUCUCAGUUCGGAUUGGGGUCUGCAACUCGACCUCAUGAAGUCGGAGCCGCUAGUAAUCGCAGAUCAGCAACGCUGCGGUGAAUACGUUCCCGGGGCU
This 1346-nucleotide ribosomal RNA is filed under the name uncultured bacterium. RNAcentral describes it as "partial 16S ribosomal RNA". It matches the Rfam family "Bacterial small subunit ribosomal RNA", at positions 28 to 1381 of the family's 1533-position model. The record is from RNAcentral.